AUUGAACGCUGGCGGCAUGCCUAACACAUGCAAGUCGAGCGGAUGAAGGGAGCUUUCUCCUGGAUUCAGCGGCGGACGGGUGAGUAAUGCCUAGGAAUCUGCCUGGUCUUUGGGGAUAACGUCCGUAAACGGGCGCUAAUACCGCAUACGUCCUUAGGUAGAAAGUGGUGGUUCUUCGGACCUCACGCUAUCAGAUGAGCCUAGGUCGGAUUAGCUAGUUGGUGGGGUAAAGGCCUACCAAGGCGACGAUCCGUAACUGGUCUGAGAGGAUGAUCAGUCACACUGGAACUGAGACCCGGUCCAGACUCCUACGGGAGGAAGAGGUGGGGAAUAUUGGACAAUGGGCGAAAGCCUGCUCCAGCCAUGCCGGGUGUGUGAAGAAGGUCUUCGGAUUGUAAAGCACUUUAAGUUGGGAGGAAGGACAGUAAGUUAACACCUUGCUGUUUUGACGUAACCAACAGAAUAAGCACCGGCUAACUUCGU
This 483-nucleotide ribosomal RNA is filed under the name uncultured bacterium. Its description in RNAcentral is "partial 16S ribosomal RNA". It matches the Rfam family "Bacterial small subunit ribosomal RNA", at positions 30 to 506 of the family's 1533-position model. The record is from RNAcentral.